Molecule: ribosomal RNA, 279 nt
Filed under: uncultured bacterium
Lineage: Bacteria
Description: partial 16S ribosomal RNA
Rfam family: Bacterial small subunit ribosomal RNA
Source: RNAcentral
UGCCAGCCGCCGCGGUAAUACGGAGGGUGCAAGCGUUAUCCGGAAUCAUUGGGUUUAAAGGGUCCGUAGGCGGGCAUAUAAGUCAGUGGUGAAAGUCUGCAGCUUAACUGUAGAACUGCCAUUGAUACUGUAUGUCUUGAAUUAUUGUGAAGUGGUUAGAAUAUGUAGUGUAGCGGUGAAAUGCUUAGAGAUUACAUAGAAUACCGAUUGCGAAGGCAGAUCACUAACAAUAUAUUGACACUGAGAGACGACAGCUAGGGGAGCAAAUGGGAUUAGAUA